UGUUUCCAUUAAUCAAGAACGAAAGUUAGAGGUUCGAAGGCGAUCAGAUACCGCCCUAGUUCUAACCAUAAACGAUGCCAGCCAGCGAUCCGGCUGUGUUCCUCAAAUGACACGCCGGGCAGCUUCCGGGAAACCAAAGCUUUUGGGUUCCGGGGGAAGUAUGGUUGCAAAGCUCAAACUUAAAGGAAUUGACGGAAGGGCACACAAGGAUUGGAGCCUGCGGCUUAAUUUGACUCAACACGGGAAAGCCUACCCGGUCCGGACACAGGAAGGAUUGACAGAUUAAGAGCUCUUUCUUGAUUCUGUGGGUGGUGGUGCAUGGCCGCUCUUAGUUGGUGGAGCGAUUUGUCUGGUUCAUUCCGAUAACGAACGAGACCCUAGCCUACUAAAUAGACGUUCCGAUCCUUGGAGUCGGACGGUUCUUCUUAGAGGGACAAGCGGCGUCUAGCCGCGCGAGGCAGGGCUAUAGCAGGUCUGUGAUGCCCUUAGAUGUCCGGGGCCGCACGCGCGCUACAUUGAAGGGAUCAGCGUGUGCUUUCCCGGUCCGACAGGACUGGGUAACCCGUUGAAUUUCCUUCGUGAUAGGGAUAGAGAGUUGUAACUUUCUCUCUUGAACGAGGAAUUCCCAGUAAGCGCGAGUCAUUAGCUCGUGUUGAUUACGUCCCUGCCCUUUGUACACACCGCCCGUCGCUAGCAGCAAUUGAAUGCUUUAGUGAGGUCUUCGGACUGGCGCUCGGACUGGCCCUCGGGCCGGCCGCGGUGCCGGGAAGAUGACCGAACUUGAUUAUUUAGAGCAGCUAAAAGUCGUAACAAGGUUU
Molecule: ribosomal RNA, 818 nt
Filed under: Styposis selis
Lineage: Eukaryota; Metazoa; Arthropoda; Arachnida; Araneae; Theridiidae
Description: bacterial SSU rRNA
Rfam family: Eukaryotic small subunit ribosomal RNA
Source: RNAcentral